Molecule: ribosomal RNA, 422 nt
Filed under: uncultured bacterium
Lineage: Bacteria
Description: bacterial SSU rRNA
Rfam family: Bacterial small subunit ribosomal RNA
Source: RNAcentral
UGAGGAAUUUUCCACAAUGGGCGAAAGCCUGAUGGAGCGACGCCGCGUGAGGGACGAAGGGGCUUUGCCUUGUAAACCUCUGUCGGAAGGGAAGAAUGAGACCCUCAGGGUCUUUGGACAGUACCUUCAAAGGAAGGAUCGGCUAACUACGUGCCAGCAGCCGCGGUAAUACGUAGGAUCCAAGCGUUGUCCGGAAUUACUGGGCAUAAAGGGAGCGUAGGCGGAUUUGUGCGUCAGAGGUGAAAUCCAACGGCUUAACUGUUGAACUGCCUUUGAUACGGCAAAUCUUGAGUAUGAGAGAGGCGAGUAGAAUUCCAGGUGUAGCGGUGAAAUGCGUAGAUAUCUGGAGGAAUACCAGUGGUGAAGACGGCUCGCUGGCUCAUAACUGACGCUGAGGCUCGAAAGCGUGGGGAUCAAACAGG